Molecule: non-coding RNA, 263 nt
Filed under: Paenibacillus sp.
Lineage: Bacteria; Bacillati; Bacillota; Bacilli; Caryophanales; Paenibacillaceae
Description: T-box sequence
Rfam family: T-box leader
About the family: Uncharged tRNA acts as the effector for transcription antitermination of genes in the T-box leader family. T-boxes are found upstream of many aminoacyl-tRNA synthetase genes and some amino acid biosynthetic genes usually in Gram-positive bacteria.
Source: RNAcentral
UUAAAUGCAAUGAUGGGAAUAAGUAAGCUCGAUUGAAUUGCGUGCAGAGAGCCGGUGGUUGCUGCGAACCGGUGCAAGCGUCGAUGCUGAAUGGGCCCCGGAGCCUAUGAACGGAAACUGGCAGCAGCAGCUGCUGAAGAUGUUUGUACGGAAGCUCCCCGUUAUGGAGCAACAAGGCUUAUGGGAUUUUUAUGCGCUUAGUUCUUAUAAAAAAAGCGUACCAUAAGCGAAUUAGGGUGGCACCACGGUCCCUCGUCCCUUGC